UUAAAGAGAAGAACGAUUAAA
This 21-nucleotide non-coding RNA is filed under the name Caenorhabditis elegans. Lineage: Eukaryota; Metazoa; Nematoda; Chromadorea; Rhabditida; Rhabditidae. The record is from RNAcentral.